AAAAAGAUAAGCUAAAUUCAAGCUCCUGGGUUCAUACCCCAUAAAUAAAGGCAAAAUCCUUUUCUUUUUA
RNAcentral lists this transfer RNA (70 nucleotides) under Himaloaesalus gaoligongshanus. RNAcentral describes it as "tRNA-Met". The record is from RNAcentral. Lineage: Eukaryota; Metazoa; Arthropoda; Insecta; Coleoptera; Lucanidae.